RNAcentral lists this transfer RNA (77 nucleotides) under Candidatus Nomurabacteria bacterium. Its description in RNAcentral is "tRNA-Pro". It matches the Rfam family "tRNA". From Rfam's summary of the family: Transfer RNA (tRNA) molecules are approximately 80 nucleotides in length. Their secondary structure includes four short double-helical elements and three loops (D, anti-codon, and T loops). Lineage: Bacteria; Candidatus Nomuraibacteriota. The record is from RNAcentral.
CGGGGUGUGGCGCAGUUGGCUAGCGCGCAGCGUUCGGGACGCUGAGGCCGGAAGUUCAAGUCUUCUCACCCCGACCA